This 778-nucleotide ribosomal RNA is filed under the name uncultured Neocallimastigales. RNAcentral's name for it is "partial large subunit ribosomal RNA". It matches the Rfam family "Eukaryotic large subunit ribosomal RNA", at positions 24 to 629 of the family's 3401-position model. Lineage: Eukaryota; Fungi; Neocallimastigomycota; Neocallimastigomycetes; Neocallimastigales. The record is from RNAcentral.
UAUCUCUGUAGAGUCUGCAUAUCAAUAAGCGGAGGAAAAGAAACUAACUAGGAUUCCCUUAGUAACGGCGAGUGAAGCGGGAAGAGCUCAAAUUUGAAAUCUUCAAGGUUUUACCUUGACGAAUUGUAGUUUAAAGAAGUGUUUUCUGUUGGUGUUUUGGUAAAAGUUCUUUGGAAUAGGACAGUCAUAGAGGGUGAGAAUCCCGUAUUUGACCAUUACUUUCCAGCUUUGUGAUACACUUUCAAAGAGUCGGAUUGUUUGGGAAUGCAGUCCAAAAUGGGUGGUAAAUUUCAUCUAAAGCUAAAUAUUGACGAGAGACCGAUAGCGAACAAGUACCGUGAGGGAAAGAUGAAAAGAACUUUGAAAAGAGAGUUAAACAGUACGUGAAAUUGUCAAAAGGGAAGCGUUUGACACCAGUGUUGUUUUCUCGAAAAUCAAUUAAAAAAGGCAGGAUUUUGUGUUGUAUUGACUUUAUCAGCUUUCUGCACUCUUUUCUUGUCCUUUUUUUAAUGCACUUUUCGUUUAACAAGUCAACAUCAAUUUCUUUUGUUGUAAAAGGGUCAUUGGAAGGUGGCUUUCUUUUCGGAGAAAGUGUUUAUAGCCUUUGGCCUCUGCAAUCGGAGAGAUUGAGGUCUGCAGCGUAGAUCCUUCGGGGUUAGAUACAUUUGUGCUAAGUUAUAGCCUUUCAUAGACAACUUGUUGACUAUGAUCAGUCAUGUAGCUUACUCGCUUAUGCUAUUUUACCUACGCUUAGGAUGUUGAUAGUCACAGCGUGUAC